UAGGGAAUCUUCGGCAAUGGGGGCAACCCUGACCGAGCAACGCCGCGUGAGUGAAGAAGGUUUUCGGAUCGUAAAGCUCUGUUGUAAGAGAAGAACGUGUGUGAGAGUGGAAAGUUCACACAGUGACGGUAACUUACCAGAAAGGGACGGCUAACUACGUGCCAGCAGCCGCAGUAAUACGUAGGUCCCGAGCGUUGUCCGGAUUUAUUGGGCGUAAAGCGAGCGCAGGCGGUUUAAUAAGUCUGAAGUUAAAGGCAGUGGCUUAACCAUUGUUCGCUUUGGAAACUGUUAAACUUGAGUGCAGAAGGGGAGAGUGGAAUUCCAUGUGUGGCGGUGAGAUGCGUAGAUAUAUGGAGGAACACCGGUGGCGAAAGCGGCUCUCUAGUCUGUAACUGACGCUGAGGCUCGAAAGCGUGGGGAGCAAACAGG
RNAcentral lists this ribosomal RNA (429 nucleotides) under bacterium. RNAcentral describes it as "partial 16S ribosomal RNA". It matches the Rfam family "Bacterial small subunit ribosomal RNA", at positions 355 to 776 of the family's 1533-position model. The record is from RNAcentral.